GUCUGGAUAUCUUUUGGAUCGAAAGGAACCUCUGGGUUUACGAUCCUGCGGGAGAAAAGCUCUUUUGCCUUCAGCUGCUCUUUUAAUACAUUCAUCCACGUUUUUCCCAAACAACAUGUCGCCGUGGAAAGGUAAGGCACAUAAACUAGAUUUAGAAGAGGUAUCUGCUAUCCAGGACCUUAACCAUAGAGCCCUUCUGGCUGAAACGGAG
Molecule: non-coding RNA, 211 nt
Organism: Pelobates cultripes (western spadefoot toad)
Lineage: Eukaryota; Metazoa; Chordata; Amphibia; Anura; Pelobatidae
Source: the annotation of a GenBank genome assembly